Molecule: long non-coding RNA, 7549 nt
Filed under: Nicotiana tabacum (common tobacco)
Lineage: Eukaryota; Viridiplantae; Streptophyta; Magnoliopsida; Solanales; Solanaceae
Description: long non-coding RNA (NTAB_LNC003369)
Source: RNAcentral
UAGUGGUUCCCUUAAUUAGAUACAGAAGAACGACCCGUGAUCGUUCUCUUUGUGGUCUGCAAUGUUCAGUAAGAAGACGAAAUUCGUGAAAUUGUAAGGAGCAAAAGAGGCAUUCAGGAAGAAGGAACGACAAAAUAACUAUAUAGGUUCACAUUUAAUUUAUGUCUUGAUUGCCUGCUCCACGAGUUAGGAACAAUUUUCCAAAUAUGAAAUACAACAGCUGCAGAACUACAUGUUAGAGAAGAUUUUAUAUCACAGUAUGUAAUGUAAUAAUUUGCAAUUUUCACUUGUGUCAUUUUCCUCUUGUCCUUUCUAUAUAUGGCAUACAGUGCUUUUUUGUAUAUAAUAUCGAAAUGACAAGUAAAACCUUAUCACAACCAUCACUGAUGGAAAAUGGUGGUUUAGUUAUUAUAUUUGGAAGGCGGAAGUGACUAUUGGUAAAUGGUGUUAUACCUCUAAAACCGUAGUGCUAGUCUAUAUAUGCACCAUUAUGCGUGUUAAAAUGACAGGCUUUUCAUUAUAAUAGAGACAGACUACGGUACAUACAAAAAGAUUAAUCUCUGCAUCGAUGGCAUUUUUAGGUUAUGAACUAAGGGAAUUAAUCUGUUUUGCGAGAAUUCCCAGCAACGAGCGACAUAAGUCGUGGUUGCUAAAAAUUUGCUUCCCAAAGGAGAAUCUAUAAGUCUCCUAACUAGUAUUUUUGAAUUAAAUACUUCAUUAGUAUCAAAGCUAUAAGGUUUUAGCUAUUUGAAUAACCCUAAAUGGAAAUUGCAAUAUUUCAUGUCUGUAAAUGCAUAUUUCUGUAUGAAACCUUAGGAAUUUUGUAGACCUCAUUGUGAGCUUUUGCAUCGAUAUGUGGGUAAUAUUUUUGGCCCUAUAAUUGGUGAGAUACUGAAUUUUAAAGUUUUAGGGUUUAAUUAUCACAAAUUAAACUUCAAAAAUUCAAUAAUCCUUUUUUCGUGAAAUUUUUGUGCAAAUUAUGUUGGGUUCAGUUACCCGCAUAUUUUUGAGCAAAACUAUAUAAUCAAUUGUGAUUACGAUCGAACAUUUGGGUCAGAUUUUAAAGAAAAUCAUUAGCGUUUGUUCAAAAUAAAAAUAAUCAAUUCUUUAUCAUAUCAAUUUUUGAACGGGUUUAUUUGGAUUUGAUGGUCUAAAACAAUCCUAAAAUACAAGAAAAAUAUUUACUAGUGUUAUAAUUGAAGAGACUUGGCUGAAAAAUACGUUAUUUGGUUGGAAACUCGAACCAACCCUUAAUGAACCCACCCAAUGAUUUUCUUUCAAUUCGCGGUAAGAUUUCGAUGGUUUCUUGAACAAUUUGUGCUAGAAUUCAAUCCUAAAAUAUGUUUAGGCAAAAUAUUAUGCUUUGAUUAGAUCAAAAUGACCAAAAUUGAGAAAAAAUAAAAAACGAGUCGCGCUGGACCCAUUUUGAAGCUAUCUGGAUUGUAAUUAUUGAACAUGUAUUAAUUAUUUUGUAUAACAUUUGGAUAGUUUCGGAAUGUUCGGCAUCGAAUUGAGAAUUUAACGCGACGUGGUGAUCGGAAAGUGGACUUUGAGACAAGGUAAGUCUCUUGUCUAAUCUUGUGAGGGGGAAAUUACCCCAUAGGUGAUUAAAUUAAUAAAUAUUGCUAAUUGUGGGGGCUACGUACGCACAAGGUGACGAGAGUCCGUGCGUAGCUACUAUUUAUGCUAAAGUUCGGGUAGUUUAGGACUUAAAUCAUAAAUUACUUGUGUAAAUUGUAUUCUUUAUUUAAUUAGAUUAUGUUAUAUAUAUUGGGAAUUGUUAGAAAAUAUAAUAAAGAUGGAAAUCUCAUAUACUUAACUUUUUUUUUAAAAUUAAUUAAUUGUUAAAAGAAAUUGUUCAUUCUCUCGAAUUUAUCUUAUAAUAAAUAUACUCUCCUUCCAAAGGUACAUAAGAAAAUGUCCUCCUUUAUUGUGGAGCGGGCCGAACGCCUAGGCAGGAUAGAUGCAUCUAUGGAUCGUGCCGCACGUCACUCGGCAGUGUACACGACACUCUGGAUCGGGCCGUACGACCUCGGCAGAAAUCGUGCCUAAUAAUAAUAAUUGCACGAUACUUGAUAUGUAAUUGCAGCUUGUGAAUUUAAUUAAUAGAUUGAGAAUUGUUGCAUUUCAAGGAAUUUAAUUAAUAUAUUGGUAAUUAUUGCAUUUGAAGGAAUUUAAUUACUUCUUCUGGUUUAAUAAAAUUAUUGUUAGCUCUGUGAAUCAUGUUGAUAAAAAUAUUUCUAUUUUUAUGUUACUUAUUAUUAUUGACCUUUAGUGAGUGUCAAAGUCGAUCAUCUCGUCUCUACCUCUUCGAGAUUAGCCUUGAUACUUACUAGGUACACGUUAUUUUUUGUACUCAUGCUGCACUUGCUGCACAUUUUAUUGUGCAGAUACAUAUAUGUCUAGCGGCCUUCUGGGCACAGAGGUGCGGCUAAAAUUGUGAGGACAUAGGUGAUCUGCAUUCUGUAUUACGAUCCACAGCCAUCAGAGUCUCCUUCAGAGUUAUUUAUAUUUUUCCUGUCUAAUUUGUAUUCUAGACAGAUGUUGUAUUUCUGACCCAUUGAGUGAAGAAGAUGACCAACCUUGGAUGCUAGCAAAGCCCACUCUCGGCAGAAACUUAUGGUGGAGAGUACCCCCCCCCCCCCCCGGCCAUUUUCUAUGAAUUGUUUUUGCUCGUACUUAAUUAUCUGAUUUUCUUAUAAUUUUUUAUACUGAAAUUAUUUUUCUUUUAAUUAAUAUUGUUCUGAAAAUAUUAAUUAUUUUUGGAGGUAUUUUUCAAGAAUAAAAAAUUUGUAAAAAAUAUUAAUUGAUUCAAAAAGCGUUUUUAUGUGACUAAUUCUCCCUAUAAGUAUAUGAAAAUAUAUAUCAUAUUUUUAAAGUAAAAUUAGGCAUAAAUAUUAAUUUUCUCAUUGAUUUGUUCUUGGAAAGAUAUGAAAAUUAAUUUUAAGAUCAAAUAAAAUUAUUCCAUUAAUAUAUAAGUGUAUAUAAAAUGAGAUCUAAAUUUGUUUAUUUGGUGUAUAUUAUGUGCAUAUACCACUUGUUUAAUUGAGAAGCCCCGGCAAAGAGAAAAGUCAGGAUAAUGCGCACUCUGCCUGCCAAGCGGGCGGCAGGAGCAGCGGGCAAUUGCUUGGUAAGAGAACAACCCAGUGAAUAAUGUUAGUUAAAAUAUUUUUAUUUGGUGACUUGGCUUUAGUUGAUAUGUUUAAUUUUCAUUUAACAUAUAUCCAUAUACGAUGAUUGAGAACGUAGUAAACUUUUGAAUCUAGGACUUAUGCUUGUGCUUAUAAGUCUUUUCAAUUUGCUAAAGUUACCUUUAUGUGUAUGCAAAACCAUUAAAUUGCGAGCUUUAAUUCUGAGUGUGAAACUUUAUUUAUAUAAACGCAAGUCAUAAUACACCAUAUGAAAACUACUUAUGACAUCAAAUCACCAAAUUGAAGGCAAAUGCUCAAAACGAUGGUCGGGACAUUACAACUCUGUUCCCAUCGAAAAGAAAAAGAUGUUGCUUUUAUCUUAUUGAAAGAAAUAUUGUGUUCUGCUCUGUUGAUGACUAAUUUUGAUCCUCAUAUUAAAAAUUAAUUUAUUUACACUUAUUAAUUUCCAAUAAAUAUAUUAAAGAUAUUUUCUGAUUAAUAAUACCUAUAAUUAAGUAAUUAAUGGUGUCUAAUUAAUAAUUUAGUAUUAUAAUUAUAAAUAUAUCUGUAACGACCCAGCCGGUCGUUUUGAGAGUAAUAGAGGUUUCGUUUUGGUUUUUGGAGUUUUUUGGGAUACUUAGUCCCUAAAUAGAGGUUUAAGCCUUAGGAUUUGGACCGUAGUCAAAACUGUGUGAAGACGACUCUGUNNNNNNNNNNNNNNNNNNNNNNNNNNNNNNNNNNNNNNNNNNNNNNNNNNNNNNNNNNNNNNNNNNNNNNNNNNNNNNNNNNNNNNNNNNNNNNNNNNNNNNNNNNNNNNNNNNNNNNNNNNNNNNNNNNNNNNNNNNNNNNNNNNNNNNNNNNNNNNNNNNNNNNNNNNNNNNNNNNNNNNNNNNNNNNNNNNNNNNNNNNNNNNNNNNNNNNNNNNNNNNNNNNNNNNNNNNNNNNNNNNNNNNNNNNNNNNNNNNNNNNNNNNNNNNNNNNNNNNNNNNNNNNNNNNNNNNNNNNNNNNNNNNNNNNNNNNNNNNNNNNNNNNNNNNNNNNNNNNNNNNNNNNNNNNNNNNNNNNNNNNNNNNNNNNNNNNNNNAAGUCGAAUUUUUGGAGAUUUUGACCGGUAGUGGACUUUUUGAUAUCGGUGUCGGAUUCCGAUUCCGAAAGAUGGAGUAGGCCCAUAAAGUUGAAUAUGCCUUGUGUGCAAAAUUUUGGGGUCAAUCGGACGUGGUUUGGUUGGUUUCGGUAUCGGUUGUCAAAUUCGGAAGUUUCAAGUACUUUAGGUUUGAAACGGAGGAUGAUUUGUGAUUUUAGCGUUGUUUGAUGUGGUUUGAGGGCUCAACUAAGUUAUUAUGGUAUUUUAGGAUUGGUUGGUAUGUUUGGUCGAGGUCCCGGGGGCCUCGGGUGAGUUUCGGGUGCUUAACGGGUGGAAGCUUGGACUUAGAAGAAUUCUGAAGUUGCUGGUUCUGGUGUUUUCGCACCUGCGGUGAGAAGUCCGCAGGUGCGGCCCCGUAGAAGCGAGGCUGGGAUCACAGGUGCGCCUUUAGGCCAGGGAGUCAGUGGUCGCAGAUGCGACGAGUAGACGCAGAAGCGCAUCCACAGAUGCGGACUUUGGCGCGCAGGUGCGGACUCUGGAGUUUAAUGAAAAACUCGCAGGUGCGGCGUCCUAGCCGCAGAAGAGAGAGUUUCGAGGGCUUGAUUCAUUUCUCCAUUUUUGGACUUGGGAGCUCGGAAAUUGGCGAUUCUUUGAGGGAUUUUGAGAGAGAGCUUUGGGGUAACGAUUCCUAACUCGUUUUUGGUUGUAUUUCAUUAAUCUAUAGUUGUUUUCUCCAUUUAUUUUUGGAUUGGGAUUGAAAAGUUGGGAAAAUAGGGAAAAAGUUCCCUAACCGAAUUUCUGAGUUUUCAUUGGGAUUUAGACAUCGGAUUUGGUUAAUUUUGGUACGAGUGAUCUCGUGAGUGAAUGAGUGUUCAUAUUUGGUAACUUUUACCCGAUUCCGAGACGUGGGCCCAGGUCGAAGUUUUAGGACGGAUUUCGGAAUUCUUAUUAAAAUUUUGAUUUCAUUAAUUAUAUUAGUUUAUUAUAGUUGUAUUUAUGAUAUGUAAUUAUUUUUAGUUAGAUUUGGGCCAUUCGGAGUCAGAUAUUCGUGGAAAAGGCAUUGUUACCGAUUGAUUGAGCUUGGUUCGAGGUAAGUGGCUUGCCUAACUUUGUGUGGGGGAAAUCUCCUUAAGAUUUGGAACUAUUGUGAUAUGUGAGCGUCGUGUACGUGAGGUGACGAGUACGUACACGGGCUAGUUGUGAAAAAAAAUCGAUUGUCUUACUGAGCAGCAACCUGUUUUCCUUUUAUUUUGAGUUAUACUAUUUUAAUGAGUAUUAAUCUAUUUUCAUUCUUAAUUGAGUCAUUCCAAUAUGUGUAGCUAUCAUGUUUAGUCUAAUACAGCAUGUCUACGUGUCUUAACUGCUUAUGUGAACUGUGUGCAGCAUGCUUAGUGAAUUUUCUGCUUCUUCCUUGACUGGUGCUUAGUCUAAAUCGUAAGAUUUUGUGAUGUAGUUGUAUUUCUAUUGUUUGCGCUGCAUAUUUACUUUGGGACUAUGGAACGGUAUUCCGAGAGAUCCUCUUGUACUUCAUAUUUACUUUGGGACUACGAAACGGUAUUCCGGGAGAUCCCCCUGUACUGCAUAUUUACUUUGGGACUACGGAACGGUAUUCCGGGAGAUCCCCUUGUACUGCAUAUUUAUUUUGGGACUACAGAACGGUAUUCCGAGAGAUCCCCCUGUAUUGCAUAUUUAUUUUGGGACUACGGAACGGUAUUCCAAGAGAUCCCCCUGUCUUGCAUAUUUACUUUGGAACUACGGAACAGUAUUCCAGGAGAUCCCCUACACAUUUACGUUUGAAACUAUGAGACGGUAUCUCGGGAGAUCCCCUGUUGUAUUUUUGUGUAUUGAGCUGUUACCUUCUAUAAAUUCUUUCUUGUUAAAUUUCAGUCUUUAUUUUACUACAAUAUUUCAUUUUUGCCUUGCUUUAUUAUCAUAUUCCAGUAGGGCCCGGACCUGACCUCGUCACUACUCUACCGAAGUUAGACUUGGCACUUAUUGUGUACUGAUUAUGGUGUACUCAUGCUACUCUUCUGCACAUAUUUUGUGUGUAGAUCCAGGUACUUCUUAUCAGCCCCGCUACUAGCUGAGAGUGCUUGCUGCUGUACGGAGAUUUCAAGGUAUAUCUGCCGCGUCCGCAAACCUCGGAGUCCUCCUCUAUUCCCUCCUAUGUCAUUUACCUUCCUUACUUCUGUUAUUAGACUCUGGUGUAUAGAGAUACUAGUUUUCUUCUGUAGCUUGUGACUUACGAUGUUCCGAGUUUUGGGAUUACUGUGUAUUUUGAACAGCUAGUUGUUUAAUUCAUGUUUUCAUUUCAUUAUUUCGCAAAUGUUAGGCUUACCUAAUCAUAGAGAUUAGGUGCCGUCACGAUGUCAUACGGAGGAGAAAUUGGGUCAUGACAAUAUCACUCUUACUAUCCUUUAAACAAUUAAAAUAACUUUUACAUAGGUUUAUAAUUAAUUUAAUAAGGUUACAUCUUAAUAUUGGUAAAAUAGCCUACUAUUUCAAAAUAAACCCUUAAUUAGUACCUCAAAUAGAAAACAGGAUAUUUAGUAAUUAAUUAGCUAAUUAUAGUAAUUAGCAAUGUAUUUGAUAAUUUUAAUUUAUAUUAUAUUUUAUUAAAAUUAUUUAAGUUUAAUUAAAUUAAUUAUAAAAGGAGUUAAAGACCGAAAUGGCUACAAUUGAAAAUACCUAAUUAAAUACAAUUUGGCUAUCUAUUAAAUCAUUUUUAGCCCAAUACCCAAGCCUAAACAAAUCUGAUCCAGUAAAAAACCCAUCUUAUCCACCUUGGCAAUCCGGUCCACUCUCAAUGAACCAGUCCGUACUUUCCACGUCGCCCCUUCCACACCACUCACAAAAGAAGCACAAUCAAUCUCAGCCGCCUAUCCCUCAUAUCAACGGCCCGUGUUUAUCCUCGUUUUCCCCUUUAUUUUUAAUACUCCAUCAGAUUCAACCUUAACCGUCCAAAUCCAAUAAUCCAACGGUUAUCAUAUUACACUAAUUUAAUUAUUUAAUCCCUGAUUUAUCAGCGCCGUUGAUCUAAAGAUCCAAUGGCCCAGAUCUCUCCAACCUGUUUAAACCCCUAGAGACAACCCAAUCCUCUCAAACCUUAAUCAUUCGUCUCCCAGACUCGGCCGCCCCCUUUCCCCCUUCUCUCUCAUUUUCUCUCAACUCACCAUACCCCAUCAAUCAAAGAACCUUGCACAAAUUAGUGCAAGGUCAUGAAUCAUGACCAGAAAUCAUCCCCUUUGUCCUAUUUAUCCACGAUUCUCGCCGAAUGUUUGCUCAUUUCAUUUUGGAGAUUAGAAUCCCCAAAUCCAAAACCCAAAAAAAAAAA